Molecule: ribosomal RNA, 253 nt
Filed under: uncultured bacterium
Lineage: Bacteria
Description: partial 16S ribosomal RNA
Rfam family: Bacterial small subunit ribosomal RNA
Source: RNAcentral
UACGUAGGGUGCGAGCGUUGUCCGGAAUUAUUGGGCGUAAAGAGCUCGUAGGCGGCCUGUCGCGUCGGAUGUGAAAGCCCGGGGCUUAACCCCGGGUCUGCAUUCGAUACGGGCAGGCUAGAGUGUGGUAGGGGAGAUCGGAAUUCCUGGUGUAGCGGUGAAAUGCGCAGAUAUCAGGAGGAACACCGGUGGCGAAGGCGGAUCUCUGGGCCAUUACUGACGCUGAGGUGCGAAAGCGUGGGGAGCGAACAGG